RNAcentral lists this ribosomal RNA (402 nucleotides) under uncultured prokaryote. RNAcentral's name for it is "bacterial SSU rRNA". It matches the Rfam family "Bacterial small subunit ribosomal RNA", at positions 355 to 774 of the family's 1533-position model. The record is from RNAcentral.
UAGGGAAUAUUAGAAAUGGACGAAAGUCUGAUCUAGCAACACCGCGUGUGCGAAGAAGGCCUUCGGGUUGUAAAGCACUUUUUGGAAGGAUUAGGAAGGAAUGUACUUCCAGAAUAAGUCUCGGCUAACUACGUGCCAGCAGCCGCGGUAACACGUAGGAGGCAAACGUUAUCCGGAUUUACUGGGCGUAAAGCGCGUGUAGGUGGUUCUGUAAGUAGGGCGUGAAAGCUCCUGGCUCAACUGGGAGAGGCCGUUCUAAACUACAGAACUAGAGGAUGGUAGAGGGAGGUGGAAUUCCAGGUGUAGCGGUGGAAUGCGCAGAUAUCCGGAGGAGCACCAGUGGCGAAAGCGGCCUCCUGGACCACUCCUGACACUCAGACGCGAAAGCUAGGGUAGCAAACG